CAAACAUAGAUAUGCAUAGGUUCUAAGCGGGCAAAGCCUGCUGGAUGAAAAGGGAACAUGGUAGGGAUGACCUUGACGGGUCCUGAACCAUGGCUGCCCCCGCAACUGUUAACGGUAGUUGACUUGCACAUGCCACUGAGGCUUCAGUCUUGGGAAGGCGCAAGAAAACUCUGAUCCGUGAGCCAGGAGACCUGCCUGUGUGUGUUGUGGCCC
Molecule: non-coding RNA, 213 nt
Filed under: Magnetovibrio blakemorei
Lineage: Bacteria; Pseudomonadati; Pseudomonadota; Alphaproteobacteria; Rhodospirillales; Magnetovibrionaceae
Source: RNAcentral